AAAAUUGGCCAAAACUAUAUAAACGACUUUAAAAUAGGCCAAAAACAUUAAAAACCACUACAAACACUAAAAUAGGCCAAAAACCAUAAAAACGACUAAGAACACUAAAAUUGGCCAUAACCCAUAAAAACGACUACAAGCACUUAAUUUGCCAAAAAUUAAAGAACGUCCCUAAAAUAGGCCAAAAACAUUAAAAACCACUACAAAUACUAAAAUUGCCAAAAACCAUAUAAACGACCUAAAAUAGGCCAAAAACCAUAAAAUCGAAUACAAACACAAAAAAUGGCCAAAAACUACAUAAACGACCCUAAAAUAGGCCAAAAACCAUAAAAAUGACUACAAUCACUAAAAUUGGCCAAAAACUUAUUAAACGACCCUAAAAUAGGCUAAAAACAUUAAAAACCACUACAAACACUAAAAUAGGCCAAAAACCAUUAAAACGACUACAAACACUAAAAUUGGCCAAAAACCAUAUAAACGAUUACAAACACUAAAAUUGGCCAAAACUAUAUAAACGACUCUAAAAUAGGCCAAAAACANNNNNNNNNNNNNNNNNNNNNNNNNNNNNNNNNNNNNNNNNNNNNNNNNNNNNNNNUGCCAAAAACCAUAAAAACGACUACAAACAAUAAAAUAGGCCAAAAAGCAUAAAAACGACUACAAACACUAAAAUUGGCUAAAAACCAUAAAAACGACUACAAUCACAAAAAUUGGCCAAAAAAUAUAAAAACGACCUUAAAAAGGCCAAAAAGCAUAAAAACAAAUACAAACACUAAAAUAGGCCAAAAACCAUAAAAAUUACAACAAACACUAAAAUUGGCCAAAAUCCAUAUAAACGACCCUAAAAUAGGCCAAAAACUAUAAAAACCAGUACGAACACUAAAAUUGGCCAUAAGCCAUAAAAACGACUACAAACACUUAAAUUGGCCAAAAACUAAAGAAUGUCCCUAAAAUAGGCCAAAAACAUUAAAAACCACUACAAACACUAAAAUUGGCCAAAAACCAUAUAAACGACCUAAAGUAGGCCAAAAACCAAAAAAAUUACAACAAACACUAAAAUUGGCAAAAAUCCAUAUAAACGACCCUAAAAUAGGCCAAAAACCAUAAAAACGACUACAAACACUAAAAUUGGCCAAAACCAUAAAAACGACUACAAACACUAAAACAGGCCAAAAACCAUAAAAACGACUAAGAACACCAAAAUUGGCCAUAACCCAUAAAAACGACUAAAAACACUUAAAUUGGCC
RNAcentral lists this long non-coding RNA (1244 nucleotides) under Trifolium pratense (red clover). RNAcentral's name for it is "long non-coding RNA (TPRA_LNC005338)". Lineage: Eukaryota; Viridiplantae; Streptophyta; Magnoliopsida; Fabales; Fabaceae. The record is from RNAcentral.